RNAcentral lists this ribosomal RNA (491 nucleotides) under uncultured bacterium. RNAcentral's name for it is "bacterial SSU rRNA". It matches the Rfam family "Bacterial small subunit ribosomal RNA", at positions 29 to 494 of the family's 1533-position model. The record is from RNAcentral.
AGCGAACGUUAGCGGCAGGCCUAACACAUGCAAGUCGAGCGAGAAAGAGGGCUUCGGCCCUCGAGUACAGCGGCGCACGGGUGAGUAACACGUGGGUAAUCUGCCCUUCGGUGGGGGACAACAGCCCGAAAGGGUUGCUAAUACCGCAUACGUCGGCGAGCUCUGCGGAGCACGCCGGGAAAGGUGCCCUCUACUUGUAAGGUGCCGUCGAAGGAGGAGCCCGCGUCCCAUCAGCUAGUUGGUAGGGUAACGGCCUACCAAGGCGAAGACGGGUAGCUGGUCUGAGAGGAUGAUCAGCCACACUGGGACUGAGACACGGCCCAGACUCCUACGGGAGGCAGCAGUGGGGAAUAUUGGACAAUGGGCGAAAGCCUGAUCCAGCCAUGCCGCGUGAGUGAUGAAGGCCCUCGGGUCGUAAAGCUCUGUGGAGAGGGAAGAAGUCCUUGCAGCAUCAGAUCCUGCAAGUUGACGGUACCUCUUUAGCAAGCACC